ACCAGCUCAAAUUUGAAAGCUGGCCUUCGGGUCCGCAUUGUAAUUUGUAGAGGAUGCUUUGGGGCAGCCGCCUGUCUAAGUUCCUUGGAACAGGACGUCAUAGAGGGUGAGAAUCCCGUAUGUGACAGGACAUGGCACCCUAUGUAAAGCUCCUUCGACGAGUCGAGUUGUUUGGGAAUGCAGCUCUAAAUGGGAGGUAAAUUUCUUCUAAAGCUAAAUACCGGCGAGAGACCGAUAGCGCACAAGUAGAGUGAUCGAAAGAUGAAAAGCACUUUGGAAAGAGAGUUAAAAAGCACGUGAAAUUGUUGAAAGGGAAGCGCUUGCAAUCAGACUUGUUUUGACUGUUCGGCCGGUCUUCUGACCGGUUUACUCAGUCUGGACAGGCCAGCAUCAGUUUUGGCGGCCGGAUAAAGGCCCAGGGAAUGUGGCUCUCACUUCGGUGGGAGUGUUAUAGCCCUGGGUGUAAUACGGCCAGCCGGGACUGAGGUCCGCGCUUCGGCUAGGAUGCUGGCGUAAUGGUUGUAAGCGACCCGUCUUGAAACACGGA
RNAcentral lists this ribosomal RNA (547 nucleotides) under Aureobasidium sp. RNAcentral's name for it is "partial large subunit ribosomal RNA". It matches the Rfam family "Eukaryotic large subunit ribosomal RNA", at positions 103 to 665 of the family's 3401-position model. The record is from RNAcentral. Lineage: Eukaryota; Fungi; Ascomycota; Dothideomycetes; Dothideales; Saccotheciaceae.